CCCCAAUCCAAAUGUACUCGGGCAACAGGUAAGCGAAACACGGCACCCCCUGCUACCCUUACUGCCACAGUGUCCCCAGUGUGCUGAUGCUCUGAGACCAAGUUCUUUUGGAGCAGUGUCAUCGUAGCUCCUGUGUCUCUCAGCCCAUUCACCACUCUGCCAUUCAGCUUCACAGUUUGCCGAUGUUGCUGGCGAUUAUCCUGGUGAGCUGCUUGCACUGGGUCUGCCUCGUGUAGAAUGCCCCAAAAUUCCUCUUGCUCUAGGCAGUGAGCAGCAGGCUGAGGUGGGCGCUGGUUUCCAUUAACUGGUCUC
Molecule: non-coding RNA, 312 nt
Organism: Pelobates cultripes (western spadefoot toad)
Lineage: Eukaryota; Metazoa; Chordata; Amphibia; Anura; Pelobatidae
Source: the annotation of a GenBank genome assembly